RNAcentral lists this long non-coding RNA (503 nucleotides) under Vigna radiata. Its description in RNAcentral is "long non-coding RNA (VRAD_LNC017745)". Lineage: Eukaryota; Viridiplantae; Streptophyta; Magnoliopsida; Fabales; Fabaceae. The record is from RNAcentral.
GUGUGGGUGUUGUGGUUUGGACUCUUUCUUCUUGUUUUUCGGUUUUGAUGCUUGAAACAAGGAUGGGAUUAGAUCUUGGUGUUAUUAUGGUGGCUGGACAGAACUGGAGUUGAUGGCUUAGGUAUUAUUUUCGUUUUUGGCAAGGAAGCUUGAAAAAAUGGAAGAUUUGGUUGGGUUGAAGUAGCAUAUGUUGAGUUUAUUGUUCUUGUGUUGAUUUGGAAUUUGAACUUUGGUCUCUUGGGUUUAUGUUUCUGUACUAUGGAGGAAGAAAACAUGAAUGGUGUGUUGGUAGAGAAAGAAAAACGAAAAUGGAGAUAGGAAGGAGGAGAGAAGGUGCAUUAAAGUUUUUACCCGAUUUGGACCAACACAAAAAAUUCUUGUUUUGACUCAUAUAAUGUUUCCACUUUGAGAUUUGGCCUUUGUUUGUUCCAGUCGUGAAUUGCAAGGAUGGUGAAAGGUUUUUGGAGUUUGUUUUCAUUUGGUUUUGCUUACAUGGCAUCUUG